RNAcentral lists this ribosomal RNA (301 nucleotides) under uncultured bacterium. Its description in RNAcentral is "partial 16S ribosomal RNA". It matches the Rfam family "Bacterial small subunit ribosomal RNA", at positions 509 to 809 of the family's 1533-position model. The record is from RNAcentral.
CAGCAGCCGCGGGAAUACAGAGGGUGCGAGCGUUAAUCGGAUUUACUGGGCGUAAAGCGUGCGUAGGCGGCUUUUUAAGUCGGAUGUGAAAUCCCUGAGCUUAACUUAGGAAUUGCAUUCGAUACUGGGAAGCUAGAGUAUGGGAGAGGAUGGUAGAAUUCCAGGUGUAGCGGUGAAAUGCGUAGAGAUCUGGAGGAAUACCGAUGGCGAAGGCAGCCAUCUGGCCUAAUACUGACGCUGAGGUACGAAAGCAUGGGGAGCAAACAGGAUUAGAUACCCCAGUAGUCCCUGUCUCUUAUAA